UACGGGAGGCAGCAGUGAGGAAUAUUGGACAAGGGGCCCAAGCCUGAUCCACCAUGCCGCGAGCAGGAUGCGGUCCUAGGAUGUAACUGCUUAUACAGGAAGAACCGUACACGUCGGUAGAUGACG
RNAcentral lists this ribosomal RNA (126 nucleotides) under uncultured Flavobacteriia bacterium. RNAcentral describes it as "partial 16S ribosomal RNA". It matches the Rfam family "Bacterial small subunit ribosomal RNA", at positions 340 to 474 of the family's 1533-position model. Lineage: Bacteria; Pseudomonadati; Bacteroidota; Flavobacteriia. The record is from RNAcentral.